This 410-nucleotide RNase P RNA is filed under the name Candidatus Sumerlaeota bacterium. RNAcentral's name for it is "RNase P RNA component class A". It matches the Rfam family "Bacterial RNase P class A". Rfam says of the family: Ribonuclease P (RNase P) is a ubiquitous endoribonuclease, found in archaea, bacteria and eukarya as well as chloroplasts and mitochondria. Its best characterised activity is the generation of mature 5'-ends of tRNAs by cleaving the 5'-leader elements of precursor-tRNAs. RNAcentral also lists the same sequence under 1 other name. Lineage: Bacteria; Candidatus Sumerlaeota. The record is from RNAcentral.
AAGGAUGUUCGCGUGGCCGCCGCGGAGGCGAAAGCAGCGACGCGGAGGAAAGUCCGGACACCAUAGGGCAGGAUGCCAGGUAACGCCUGGGACCGCAAGGGACGGAAAGUGCAACAGAAAGAUACCGCCGACUGGCAUGAGCUUAGGCAAUUGUUUCAGGGUAAGGUUGAAAUGGUGCGGUAAGAGCGCACCGGUGGCGCAGUAAUGUGUCCGCCCGGCAAACCCCAUCCGGUGCAAAACCAAAUAGGGUUCGAGUAGCAUGGAGCAAUUCGUGUGAUGUGUGUCGGCCCGACACAAUAAAGAAUCGGGUAGGUUGCGCAGAAUCGGCUCGUGAGAGUCGAUCGAGAUGAAUGGUCACGGCGGUGGCGCAAGUCGCCGCACAGAAUCCGGCUUAUAGAAUGUCCUUUCGC